Molecule: ribosomal RNA, 484 nt
Filed under: uncultured bacterium
Lineage: Bacteria
Description: partial 16S ribosomal RNA
Rfam family: Bacterial small subunit ribosomal RNA
Source: RNAcentral
AUUGAACGCUGGCGGCAGGCCUAACACAUGCAAGUCGAGCGGAUGAAGGGAGCUUGCUCCUGGAUUCAGCGGCGGACGGGUGAGUAAUGCCUAGGAAUCUGCCUGGUAGUGGGGGAUAACGUCCGGAAACGGGCGCUAAUACCGCAUACGUCCUGAGGGAGAAAGUGGGGGAUCUUCGGACCUCACGCUAUCAGAUGAGCCUAGGUCGGAUUAGCUAGUUGGUGGGGUAAAGGCCUACCAAGGCGACGAUCCGUAACUGGUCUGAGAGGAUGAUCAGUCACACUGGAACUGAGACACGGUCCAGACUCCUACGGGAGGCAGCAGUGGGGAAUAUUGGACAAUGGGCGAAAGCAUGAUACAGCCAUGCCGCGUGUGUGAAGAAGGUCUUCGGAUUGUAAAGCACUUUAAGUUGGGAGGAAGGGCAGUAAGUUAAUACCUUGCUGUUUUGACGUUACCAACAGAAUAAGCACCGGCUAACUUCGUG